GAUGAACGCUAGCGGCAGGCUUAAUACAUGCAAGUCGUGGGGCAGCGCAGUGUAGCAAUACAUGGGCGGCGACCGGCAAACGGGUGCGGAACACGUACACAACCUUCCUACAAGUGGGGAAUAGCCCAGAGAAAUUUGGAUUAAUACCCCGUAACAUAUAAAGAUGGCAUCAUUUUUAUAUUAUAGCUACGGCGCUUGUUGAUGGGUGUGCGGCUGAUUAGGUAGUUGGCGGGGUAAUGGCCCACCAAGCCUGCGAUCAGUAGCUGAUGUGAGAGCAUGAUCAGCCACACGGGCACUGAGACACGGGCCCGACUCCUACGGGAGGCAGCAGUAAGGAAUAUUGGACAAUGGGCGCAAGCCUGAUCCAGCCAUGCCGCGUGAAGGAUUAAGGUCCUCUGGAUUGUAAACUUCUUUUAUAAGGGACGAAA
This 428-nucleotide ribosomal RNA is filed under the name uncultured bacterium. Its description in RNAcentral is "bacterial SSU rRNA". It matches the Rfam family "Bacterial small subunit ribosomal RNA", at positions 28 to 450 of the family's 1533-position model. The record is from RNAcentral.